This 140-nucleotide unclassified non-coding RNA is filed under the name uncultured Phaeomoniella. RNAcentral's name for it is "sequence contains ITS1". The record is from RNAcentral. Lineage: Eukaryota; Fungi; Ascomycota; Eurotiomycetes; Phaeomoniellales.
CAUUCAGUAGCCUCGCUACCUUUGUUUAUACCCUUGUUUUUUGCGUACUAUUGGUUUCCUCGGCGGGCUUGCCUGCCGGUUGGACAAAACUAUAACCUUUUUAAAUCUUCAAUCAGCGUCUGAAUUAUACAUAAUAAUUA